RNAcentral lists this ribosomal RNA (366 nucleotides) under Palaemon lindsayi. RNAcentral describes it as "partial 12S ribosomal RNA". The record is from RNAcentral. Lineage: Eukaryota; Metazoa; Arthropoda; Malacostraca; Decapoda; Palaemonidae.
AAACCAGGAUUAGAUACCCUGUUAUACUAGAUUAAAACUAAAUUUCGCUUGAGUAGUAACAAGUUAUAAGCUCGAAACUUAAAGGAUUUGGCGGUAUUUAAGUCUAGUUAGAGGAACCUGCUCUGUAAACGAUAUGCCACGAAUAAUCUUACUUUAUCUUGUAUUCAGUUUGUAUACCUCCAUUAUAGGUUAUAUUUUUAAAAAUUUUCUGUAAUAAAAAUUUUUUUUAAUAUAUUAGGUCAAGGUGCAGCUAAUGAAAAAGUAGUUGUGGGUUACAUUAUAUUAUAUAUACAUGAAUAAAAUUAUGAAACUAUUUUUUGAAAUUGGAUUUAAUUGUAUUUCUACAAUAAAAAGGUAGAAUGAUUG